AGAGUUUGAUCCUGGCUCAGGACGAACGCUGGCGGCGUGCCUAACACAUGCAAGUCGAACGGACGAGGAGGAGCUUGCUUCUCCAAGUCAGUGGCGGACGGGUGAGUAACGCGUGAGUAACCUGCCUUUCAGAGGGGGAUAACGUCUGGAAACGGACGCUAAUACCGCAUGACAUAUUUCCAUCGCAUGGUGGAGAUAUCAAAGGAGCAAUCCGCUGAAGGAUGGACUCGCGUCCGAUUAGAUAGUUGGCGGGGUAACGGCCCACCAAGUCGACGAUCGGUAGCCGGACUGAGAGGUUGAACGGCCACAUUGGGACUGAGACACGGCCCAGACUCCUACGGGAGGCAGCAGUGGGGGAUAUUGCACAAUGGGCGAAAGCCUGAUGCAGCAACGCCGCGUGAGGGAAGACGGUUUUCGGAUUGUAAACCUCUGUUCUAAGUGACGAACAAAUGACGGUAGCUUAGGAGAAAGCCCCGGCUAACUACGUGCCAGCAGCCGCGGUAAUACGUAGGGGGCAAGCGUUGUCCGGAAUUACUGGGUGUAAAGGGAGCGCAGGCGGAGAAGCAAGUCAGUGGUGAAAACGAUGGGCUUAACUCAUCGACUGCCAUUGAAACUGUUUCCCUUGAGUGAAGUAGAGGCAGGCGGAAUUCCGAGUGUAGCGGUGAAAUGCGUAGAUAUUCGGAGGAACACCAGUGGCGAAGGCGGCCUGCUGGGCUUUAACUGACGCUGAGGCUCGAAAGUGUGGGGAGCAAACAGGAUUAGAUACCCUGGUAGUCCACACUGUAAACGAUGA
Molecule: ribosomal RNA, 793 nt
Filed under: uncultured bacterium
Lineage: Bacteria
Description: bacterial SSU rRNA
Rfam family: Bacterial small subunit ribosomal RNA
Source: RNAcentral